This 253-nucleotide ribosomal RNA is filed under the name uncultured bacterium. Its description in RNAcentral is "partial 16S ribosomal RNA". It matches the Rfam family "Bacterial small subunit ribosomal RNA", at positions 524 to 776 of the family's 1533-position model. The record is from RNAcentral.
UACGUAUGUUCCAAGCGUUAUCCGGAUUUAUUGGGCGUAAAGCGAGCGCAGACGGUUAUUUAAGUCUGAAGUGAAAGCCCUCAGCUCAACUGAGGAAUUGCUUUGGAAACUGGAUGACUUGAGUGCAGUAGAGGAAGGCGGAACUCCAUGUGUAGCGGUGAAAUGCGUAGAUAUAUGGAAGAACACCAGUGGCGAAGGCGGCUUGCUGGACUGUAACUGACGUUGAGGCUCGAAAGUGUGGGUAGCAAACAGG